UCCAACGUUUUAUCGUCCAUCUUAUUUAAAAUAUUUUUAUAAUUAGUAUUUUUUAAUUAGAUGAUAAUAUAUGAAUAGUACUUUAUCGAUUACUUAUUCUUAUUUUUUAUUAAUAUUUUAAAUAAGAUAUACGGCCAAAUGUUGAACAUAGAAAACUAUAACUUCACUUAAA
MicroRNA precursor from Oryza rufipogon (brownbeard rice), 172 nucleotides. It matches the Rfam family "MIR812 microRNA precursor family", at positions 27 to 205 of the family's 205-position model. NCBI's taxonomy places the organism in Eukaryota, Viridiplantae, Streptophyta, Magnoliopsida, Poales, Poaceae. The record is from Rfam.